UUGCUGAUGGUCCAGUGGCUAAGACUAUGGGCUCCCAAUACAGAGGACCCAGGUUCAAUCCCUGGUCAGGGAA
This is a non-coding RNA of Bos taurus (domestic cattle), 73 nucleotides long. NCBI's taxonomy places the organism in Eukaryota, Metazoa, Chordata, Mammalia, Artiodactyla, Bovidae. The record is from Rfam.